This 3294-nucleotide long non-coding RNA is filed under the name Equus caballus (horse). RNAcentral describes it as "lncRNA (ENSECAG00000049651.1)". The record is from RNAcentral. Lineage: Eukaryota; Metazoa; Chordata; Mammalia; Perissodactyla; Equidae.
CACAUCUGCGCAAGCUGAUAAGAAGUCCUGGGCACUCCCUCCCCUGGAGCUGGAGAAGUGAAGCCACGCAAACCCUGGCUUCAGUGCAAGAACCCUGAUGCAGGUCUUUCCCCUUAACCACAGUAAAAACCAAAGCCACCUGUGUCUUCAUUCAACUCACUUUGGACCAGCUUUGGUGCCUGCCUUGCUCUCCCCGGAAGCCCCUCUAUAGCUCACCAGGACUCUUCAAUGCCUUAAAAUGCCUCUGCUGCUGCUGCCCACACCUCUGUUGCAACACAGAUCCUGAUUCUCAAGAUCAUAGAGGACGAACUCCCAUGGCAACCUACGGCGUGGCCAGAGGAUACCACCACGCUACCGGAUAACUGUGAAGCAAACCGAAAAAGACUGAGCUGACUGAGUACCGAACCUUAUCAGUGUAUCACGUGAUCAAUUCAAACCCGACUUAAUCCCAAGAAAGAGCUUUAUUAUGAAGAACUGGCUCACGAGAUUACGGAGGCUGAUAAGUUCCAGGAUCUGCAGUCAGCAAGCUGGGGACCCAGGAGAGCUGAUGGCUGGGUCUAGUCCGAAGGCUGGCGAGCUGGAGACCCAGGAAGAGCUGGUGUUUCAGUUCCAGUCUGAAGGCAGGACAAAGCCAGAGAAGGGGAUGUGUUUGCCUGUGUGCUCACCACAGAGGAUUACCAGAUGAACAAGCGUUACCAUUGCAUCGUAUCUGCCACAGUUAUUAAGUGCCAACCAGGUAUUGAACUACGUGUUGACAGGCAUUGGGCAAAGCAUUGGUGACACAAAGAUAAAAGAGAAAACAUUUCUGCCCUCAAAUUAUUCACGGUCUAAUGGAGAACAAAGAAGAUGGACGAUUGUAGUGUAACAUAUGAAAAGUAAAAUUCAGAGAAUUUGGGGAACACCAAGAGGGGAUCAUGUCCAGUCUGGAGGACUCAAGAACAUGGGAGACCCCUUGCUGCAGAGUCUAACUUACUGCAGUGUCUACCAGUUCCAAGCUGUUUCUCAAGACCCUCUAGAGACAUUACCUAGAAGGAAUUAUAAGUCCCAAGCAUCACAAUGUUCUCAUUCCAUGAUCUGUUUUUGCAGAAGUAUUUUACUCAUGGGUAAGAUGCAAAGCGGAAGAGAAGAACACGGACCUUGGAGUAAUCACUCCUAGGUCCAAAUCAUGGCUUACCCACUUAGUGGCAUUGCAACUUUGGAAAAAUGACUACAUGUUCCUGGACCCCAGCUUUCUAAUUUGUAAAAUGACAGUAAUAAUGAGGUAAUUUGUAGGUUUACAUGAGGCAACAUUUAAUGUGCUGAUACAGUUCCUUCCUGGCAUUUAACAAAUGUUUUAAAUCCAUGAAUAUUCAUUAACAUUCGUUACCUUUUGAAGUUAUUACCAUAGCUAAAAUUAUUAAUAGUAAAAUUCAAAAACUUUCAACAGUUUUCAAAUAAUUUAAUCUUAUGGAGCAGUGUUUUAAAGUGGAUACAACAUCCAGGACGGCAAAGGGAUUUCUCAAGUUACAAAUAGCCUUUAUUCUGAACAUGUAUAUGUAAAGCCAUUAUUUGGAUCUUAUAAUCACAUUGUCACACAUAAACAAUGUUACUAAUCCACGGAACCAUCAUCAAACACGUAUUGAAUAUAUGUUUUUGUGUUGGUGUUUCAGGUUAGAAUGCAAAAUCCUAUUUAACCCACAAUGUAAGUGAAAGGCAAGAAAUUCCUUCCAUUUGCUCCUUCACACAUUGCAGCUUAAAUCUCUUGAUGCAGCUGAGUUAACGGCCAGUUUCACCACUUGCACCCACUUCUGCGAGAGUAUUAACAUUGUGGUUAAUGAGUGUGGUUUUUGCACGGGUGUAACACAGACAAUGAAAUAUACACAAACAUGUCUACAUUGUGCAGUUUCACUAUACAUAAUAUUUUAUUAGUCUUUACAUUGGUUCUUUAUAAUGACUUGGUAAUUCGUGUUGUGCAUUAUCAAAAAUUUAUGAAAUGCUCUGAGAGUUCUCACCAAAGCCUUAAACAAUUUUAUUCAUUCAUUCAAUAAACAUACCUAUUAUGCUCUAGCUCUGUGCUAGGUGUUAGUUAUAACUAAUAAAUAAAGGCAUUUUCCAGCUCUGCAAUUUCUGUAAAAUUCCAAAAGAAAAUACACCGCCACAGCAUCAUGUGCUAUUCAGUGACGGACAAAACACCAGCUCUGCUUGACUGAAGUUCACAGCCCACAAGCUCGCAUGUGGUAUGGUGAUAAUCCUUUAUCGUACAGAGGGGUAUGUGUGUUUGUAGCAUUAUAUGCAAUGUGUAGAUUAAUAUAGUGUAAGUGGUUAUUAUAGCUUAAAUUUGAUUCAUUAAUCAUUUUUUUUUUAACAAAAAUGUUUUACUAGUCUUCCUUCAAGCUUUUGGAUAAGUUCAAUUUAAAAAUCUUGAAAUUACAAUCUAUUACUUUAACUAUUGGCAUUUGCAUUCCUGUGUAUUAGUAUUUUCUCAAUACUAUGCAGCCAGGAAAACAUCACAGAAAUAAAUUAGAUGCUGAAGUUGAUAUAAAGGUGCAGCUGUUAUUAACUGCUCCUAUUUUCACAUUUUUGUGUUCAACUGAAUACACCUAGCAUUCUCACUGAUUGAAUCUGUAAUAAGUAACAUUUUUUAACUUGAGCUUAUUAAAAUACAUCUAUACUAAUUAAUUUUUGGAUGUAUUUUUAAACGUUGGGAUUACUUGUAGGUGUUAAAAGGUUUUUUCCUGAAAGUCUUCUGAAAACCUGAACCAAGGAGAUAGAACAAAAACAAAUUAUUUUUAUUGUCAUUGUCAUCAAUAACAAGAAACACAACAAUAAGGAAAAUACUUGGGAAGUAGACACCUAUAAGAUCCUAUAGGAAAGCCAUAAGGUCAAAAAGAGUGGAGAUUGUUUCUGCUUACUAAAUGGAAAAGUUUUGAAGGAAAAGCAAUGUAUCAAUUCAAACCUUUGUGACAGAUAUUACUUGAGACAAUUUAUAAAUUAUCCAAAUUAUAUUUCUCCCAAAUCUCUACUAAAUGCUAAGAAGUAAAAAAAAAUUAUAGAAUUAUUCAUUAAUAUUUACCGUAGACAUUACAUUAGUUUUAGGUCAAUUUUAUGAUAUGAUUUAUUUGUUUAGUUAAAUAUAUACUGAGAGAUACAGAUACAGAUAUAUUGAGGCCCUUUGUAUAAUUGUCAUAUAUAUAUAUCCAUUGUAUAUUACUUUUAUGUCCGUUUUAUAUGACUGGAAGUCAAAUUUUACCACGAAAAUGAGCAUAUAGUAGUAUUUUUGUUAUUUUCAUCAUUAUGAAUUUUUUGUUAUCACUA